Dipodomys ordii (Ord's kangaroo rat) is the source of this 101-nucleotide small nuclear RNA. The record is from Ensembl. NCBI's taxonomy places the organism in Eukaryota, Metazoa, Chordata, Mammalia, Rodentia, Heteromyidae.
UUGCUUUGGCAGCACAUAUACUAAAAUUGGAAGGACACAGAGAAGAUUAGCAUGGCCCCUGCACGGAUGACAUGCAAAUUCGUGAAGCGUUCCAUAUUUUU